UGGCUUGUGGCUUAUGAAAGUCUUUCGUUCAAGAAAAAAGAGUAUAGCUGGUAAGAAGAAGAAGUAGUGCCUCUCGUCAAGGUAAACUGUGUACCUCUCCUCCAUCAUUUUCGUCUUUUUCUUUCUGAUUUCCUUUUUGUCUCGGUGGCUUUCGAUUUCAUCUUUGUCUCUCUAAUUUUAUUUCUUUCGAUUUCAAUUUCAAUUUCGUCUCCUUGCUUUUAACGUUCAUGCCCUAUGAGCGCUGGAUUGUGCCGUUGGAGGAAGACAUUCUUUCUUUUUUGAUUUCAUCGUUCUCCCUGAAAUCAGAAUCGAGCUUGGAAUGUUUUGUGCACACAAGGGUGACAACUCAGAACUACCACCAGUAUCGGCACGUGGAGAAACAAAGGUGGAAGCUAGGAUGGAUAUGGGCUAAGAGUGAAGUGAUAUGGUCAAUAAGGCUAUAGCAACUGACAGAGGGAAUUGUUAAUCUUAUAGUGGCUCUCAUACGUAAACUGUCAGAUGUUCUCAAGACCACCUGAAGAUGAAGAAAAUAUCAACCAAGAAGAAAUUGUCAACCAAUAAAUCUUCUACAUGGGGACAUGUAGUUACACCUGCAGCUCAUCAUCAAUCUCAUUCAGGAGACUUGAAGAUGAACUUUUCAACCUCAAGUAAGUCUAAGUCAAAACUUGAAGUGAGUACUCAUUCUUAAUUACCUAGUACUCAACCUCCAAGACUUGAAGUACAAAUUCCAACCCCAAUUACAACUCAAGCAAAUAUUCAACAAGGUUCUUCAUUUUCAUUUUCCCCUCCACUUCCAUCUGCAUCUCAAGCAAGUAUUCAACAAGGUCCUAAAUAUGCUUGUCCUCCACCUCCAUCUGCACCUCAGCCAAGACCUUGAAAGUGAGGAUAUCUUGAACUAGCCAACCCCCAAUUGCACCUCAAUCUAAUCCUCAGCCACCACAUCAAUCUUUUCCUGUAUUUGAACCAAUAAUACCAACUACAUCACAUUCAUAUUCUGAAAAUGAAGAGGAAGAAAAUGAGGAGACUGAGUUGCAAGUAGUUGAACAAAGGCCUGUAACCCGAAAAAGACCAUGGUUUGUUAAUGUGAUUGAUGAUCAAGGAAAGAGAAUUACAAAACAACUACGAACCAAUAAUGUGUGGCAUUUACCUCCUAAUGAAAGGAUUGUUGUGCAGUGGAAUAAUGAGGGCCAACCAAUUGCAGAUGGUGGAGCAUUAUUGAAUAGGUUCUUAGGUAGCAUUGCAAGAAGCUCUAAUUCUCUUCCCAUUAGCUAUUCUAGUUGGAAGAAGAUUCCUAAAGAGAGUUGCCUCGUGAUUUUACUAUGCAUCAUGCACCAACGGUAUCUGAUCAAGGAAGUAUUCCUAAUGAAGAAACAAAUAAUCAACAUCAAGCCCCGCAUUAGACGAUAUUAUUCGUUUACUUUUAGAAUAUGUCAACAAAUAUGCCUCUAGGAAACUUUUGGUUAAUUAUGCUAAUGGGGAACAACUAUGAUUUCCUUUUACAUUUUGGUUCAUUGGUCCACUUGCUUAUUAUGUCAUUAUCAUUCAAAUGCUACCUCUCCAACACUUAUUAUAUUAAGAGCAUUAUGACUCCUAGUCCACUACUAGUACUAUUUGAAUGAAUAUUUGUAUUGAUUGUUUAUUUUGAAGUGA
Long non-coding RNA from Vigna unguiculata (cowpea), 1650 nucleotides. RefSeq lists it as uncharacterized. Lineage: Eukaryota; Viridiplantae; Streptophyta; Magnoliopsida; Fabales; Fabaceae. The record is from RefSeq and is a predicted model, not a curated record.